This 484-nucleotide ribosomal RNA is filed under the name uncultured bacterium. Its description in RNAcentral is "partial 16S ribosomal RNA". It matches the Rfam family "Bacterial small subunit ribosomal RNA", at positions 28 to 507 of the family's 1533-position model. The record is from RNAcentral.
AUUGAACGCUGGCGGCAUGCUUUACACAUGCAAGUCGAACGGCAGCGCGGGCUUCGGCCUGGCGGCGAGUGGCGAACGGGUGAGUAAUGCAUCGGAACGUGCCCAGUAGUGGGGGAUAGCCCGGCGAAAGCCGGAUUAAUACCGCAUACGACCUGAGGGUGAAAGCGGGGGACCGAAAGGCCUCGCGCUUUUGUGGCGGCCGAUGUCGGAUUAGCUAGUUGGUGGGGUAAAGGCUUACCAAGGCGACGAUCCGUAGCUGGUCUGAGAGGACGACCAGCCACACUGGGACUGAGACACGGCCCAGACUCCUACGGGAGGCAGCAGUGGGGAAUUUUGGACAAUGGGGGCAACCCUGAUCCAGCCAUGCCGCGUGCGGGAAGAAGGCCUUCGGGUUGUAAACCGCUUUUGUUCGGGAAGAAAUACUCUGGGCUAAUACCCCGGGGGGAUGACGGUACCGGAAGAAUAAGCACCGGCUAACUACGUG